CGGCGACAGUCGCGACAAGGUCACGCGGCGCCCCGGACUCACCGUACACCCCUUGGCCGGAGCUGCCCUCCAGCAGAACCGUCAGCAGCCCCAGCAGCCCGAUCGCUACAUCCAUCUUCACGGGGUUUUCCACUAUCAAUAAGGAACACAUUGGGAGAAGUGGCUCCAGAUGUUUCUUGGAGGUGCCCAAGGAAUGCCAGGAAGUGGCACUCAGAGCUCUGGGCUGGGGACAAGGUGGGGACUGCUCACAGCUUGGACUUGGUGAUCUUGGAGGCCUUUUCCAACUGAAAUGAUUCCAUUAUUCUGUCUGGGACAUCCUGAGAUAUCUGAAGAAUUGUUCCUCUGCGUCCUCCUGGCAGCUGGACUCCAAUCCUCAUCCCGACCUUUCCAAGUCCUCUUCUCUAAAGGUUCCCUUAAUUCCGUGGCACAUCCCAGAAUAGCAAUUUUCUGGAUUAAUCCUGGGUUACUGGGUGAGUCAUUUUGUUUAUUUGUAUAAAACGCGUUCGCUUUAUUCCGCCCUCCCAAAUCCUGGGAUGAAAAGGGAGGAUGAGCAGAUUAUAAUGCCGGAUAUUUUUAUUCCUAGAAGGAGAUUAUAAUGCACAUUUCCUGGGGCUGAGGGAGAUUGGGAUGUUGGAAAGGCUGCCAUGGAAGCUGUGGCCAGCUCUGCAUCCAUGGAAUUAAUUCCAGUGGGUUUUUUGUUUGAUUUUUUCCUGGAUGCUGUGACAGAACCUCUUCCUCACUUCCCAUUGCAUGAGGAGCUUCUUCCCAGAUCUAGGAAUUUGGGAGUGCCUAUUGGAAUAUUCUGUGGAUUUGUUCAGAUUUGGGAAGUGGAAUCAUAAUAAUAUAUAAACUUUAGGGGGAGAAAACCCAAGGAAAAAUUAAAGCAGGAAUGGUGACUCCCUCCUUCCAAGCUCACUGGUCAAACACAGGGAACAUCCAUAAUCCCUCCUGCAAAAGCUCAGCUAAAUUGUUGUCUUGAGAAUAGAAGGGAAAAAAGGGCAACAAAAUCUUCUAAUUUUUCUCAGUUUGGAGGGAUUUGUGGGACAAAUCAAACGCAAGGAAUAUCCAUAAUACCUUCUGGAAAACCUCGUUAAAUUGUUAAUUAUAUCCUGGGAAACGAGGGGGGAAAAGACCAACCAAAGCUUUCUGGUUUUCUCAGUUUGGAGGGAUUUGUGGGACAAGUCAAACACAGGGACUAUCCAUAAUUCCUCCUGGAAAAGCACAGUUAAAUUGUUAUCCUGGGAAAAGGGGAAACAAAGAGCUACCAAAGCUUCCUGGUUUUCUCAGUUUGGAGAGAUUUGUGGGAUACAUCUGCCAUGCUCAUCCACCCCUCCCAGCCAGGGCAACCUGGAACUUGGCUUUUCCUAACAAAAAGUACAGAAGUGGCUUCCUGCAUCCUGAAGGCUCCUGGAGCACUGGAAUAAAAAUUAAAAAAUAAAAAGAUAAAAUUCCUAAGGAAAGGAAAUAAAUGCAUUCCAUAAACCCCAACACGACCCCACUGCUUUUCCUUAUUCCAGCUGCUGUGGGAGCAAUGGCACUUCCAGAAUUCCUUGUUUGAAAGCCUCGUUGUGCUUUGGGAAUCUGUUGCCAGCCAGGGAUUUUGCAGCCAAGUGACCAAAAAUAAUGGGAAUAUUUGAUCCAACUUUUCCAGCCCUGGUUCUACCUUGGGAGCACCCAAAAAUGUUGUGGCCCUUCAGAAAGGACAAAGGUUUAAAUUUCCAGCUUCUCCUGCACUUCUCCCUCACUUCUCAUUCCAUGAGGAUCUUCCCCCCAGCUCUGGAUGUCCAAGAGUUUGGGAAGUGCAUAUUGGAAUCUCAAUUUAUGGAUUUGUUCAGGUUUGGGAGGUGGGACAACAAUAGCACUGCUUUUCCAUGACAAAAUUUUCCCAAAUAUCCAAUCUAAACCCCCUCUAGCCCAGCCUGAGGCCGUUCCCUCUCCUGUCCCUGUUCCCUGGGAGCAGAGCCCCGGCUGUCCCCUCCUGGAAGGGAACUCUGGAAUUUUUCCAUAAUUUCCACCUGGUUGAACAUUUUAUUCUUCAGCUGGGCAGCAGGGAAUUGUGCAAGGUGCUGGAAUUCCUUAUCCACAAAAUUAAAACCAUUUAACAAGAUGUUGGUGACCUUUAUGGGGAAAUAUUGGUGGACAGGUGGAUACAGCUGGUUUUACCUGGAUAAUGGAAUUCCCACUGGAGAGGAACAAGGAUGAAUUGGUGAAUCAUGGAAUCAUGGAAAGGUUUGGGCUCAAGGGAUGUUGAAUCCCAUCCAGUCCCACCCCCUUCCAUAGGUAGGGACACCUUCCACUAUCCCAAGUUUUUCCAGGCCCCAUCCAACCUGUCCUUGGACACUUCCAGGAAAUUCCAUUUGAAAUCCUGGCUGGAGCAGAGUUUAUUUCAAAGCAGCCAGAUAAACAAGUGGAGAUUCCAGAGCCUGACCCCCUUUUGGGACAGGAGGAUUUCGUGGGACAAGUCUGCCAGUCAGAUUCCUUCAAAAUCUAUAAUUAUUGGAUUUAUCACCACAUUUCCCUGUGGAUCACAUCCCAUUUCCCUGGCUGCUUGCACAGUGCCUCAGCCCUCAUCCUGUGCUGGAUUUUAGCCUCAGGAGCAGCAAAAUUUUCCCAUCCACAGCUGGAAAUAUCCCAGACUAUUUGAUGAUAAGAUUUGGAACGGGCUGAGCGUAUUUUCUUCUCUGUUCCUGGCAGGAAAAAUAAACUCCACCUGUCCAGCAGGUUCAAAUAAACAAGUAAAAAAAGCUUCAUCGUGGAUUUAUUACACAGGAAAUCUUAUUUAAAUCCAUUUAUUCACUACAUUGGGAAUUUUAUUUAAAUCCAUUUAUUCACUAAAUUUAAAUAAAAGUCAGAGAAAAGAAAAUAAAAAGAAAACAAAAUUGGCAUCACAAAUACUGUGGUUUUGUCAGGUUUUCUGUACAUCAAAUAUUUGUUUUACUGCAGAACUUCCCAGGAAUCUUGCUGGAAGCUGCCAGGGAAUUGCCAGCAAUUAUUUCCUUGGUAUUUGCUUAAAUAACCCUGAGGUUUAAUAUUGUUUGAUGCCUUCUGAAAUAUCCUGGGAAGGCAGAACUCCGAGCUCUGCUGCUGCCCAGAGAUGAAUUUUUAUUCCAGAAAAUUGGGAAGUAGUUCCACAUCCCUCACUCCUGCCAGAGUGCAGGAACAGGAGAUAUUUUCCAGCAGCCUCAUUGUCCAUGACAGGGAAAAUUUUAGGUGGAACAGCCAGAAAGGCAAGAAGAGAUUUGGGUAAAAGCAAAAAACUAUGGAAAAAUUCCAUAAUUCCACCUGUGGAAUGCUCAAUCCAUCAGUAUCCUAUAAGAGGUUCCUUUCCUUCCUCCCUUCUCCCUUCCUUUCCUUCCUCCCUUUCUCUUUUCCUUGUUGGUCCUUCUGCCCCAUGGAUCCAAUAAAUCCACAUCCACAUCACCCUGUGGGGAGAUCUGACCUUGCUUUGGGACCUCUGGAAUUUUUCCUGCAUUGUUUGCAGAGCCUGGGGAACGUCACAGCCUUGAACUGGGCCUGCAGGGGCACACGGAGACACCCAAAAAGUGGGAUUUGGGGAAUUUCUUGGUUUGGUUUUGUAGAUGGAAAGGCUGGAGAGGACAAGGCUCCAGAGAGAGCUCAGAGCCCCUGGCAGGGCCUGAAGGGGCUCCAGGAGAGCUGCAGAGGGACUGGGGACAAGGCAUGGAGGGACAGGAGCCAGGGAAUGGCUCCCACUGCCAGAGGGCAGGGAUGGGUGGGAGAUUGGGAAUUGGGAAUUGCUGGCUGGGCUGGAAUUGCCAGAGCAGCUGUGGCUGCCCCUGGAUCCCUGGCAGUGCCCAAGGCCAGGCUGGACACUGGGGCUGGAGCAGCCUGGGACAGUGGGAGGUGUCCCUGCCAUGGCAGGGGUGGGAUGGGAUUCAAGGUCCUUCCAACCCAGAUCCUUCCAGGAUUCUGUGACAUUGUCCUCUCCCUUUUUCCACAGUGCUCAUUUUUAGUAUGAAUAAAAGCAUUAUCCCUUCCAUAAUACUUCUUAUUACUAUAAAUAGAUAUAAAAAUCUAAUUUUAGGUUAUUUUGAUUUGAUUUUUUAAACUCAGACUUUGGGUAUUUAAACAGAUUUUUCAACCCAUGGUGUCAGUGCACCCACUUGAAUAACCUGGACACACUCCACUGGACUAUUCAUUACAUUUAAAUAAGAAUAAUUUAAUUGUAUUACGUUGUACAUAUUUAAACAUGCCAUUGAAAACAAUGAAUUUCUGCCCCCACAACCACAGUCUGCCCAUAUUAAUAAUUUGGAGGAUUAACAUAAACAACCAGCUUUGUUUGCUGACCUGAGGUUUUCACUUUCUGCAAUAAAUUCGGGCCAAUCCAGACUGCAAAUAUUUAUUGCUGUCCUCAGAGCCAUUAACAGAGCUUCAGUCAAUAAAUGAUGGCAAGUCUGAGGCCAAGAAGUGGUUUAAGAUCCCAAAAACUAAUUUAUUGUAUGAGAAAAGCAAAAAGCAACAUCUGGGAGGGCGGAAUUCCAUGAGACUUUGCCACAGAGGGUGGUUCCACCUGGAAUUCCGCCUGUCCUGGGAGAAGGAGCCUUUGGAAUUCCAAACAGAUCAUUGGCAUUUGGUGCCAUGGCCCUCAUCCCGAAGGAAUGGGCUCUGAACAUGAAUUCUGUUCAACAUAUUCCCAAAAGGCAGCAGCACAUGGGAUUGGUGCUGCCCACACAAGGUUGGCUGGGAAACACGAGGCACACGAGGCAAAAUCUGUGUCCACUUCCAACAUUUCCAAAACUUUCAUUAGAAUGGAAGGCUGGAAUCAAAUCUCCAUCUUCUGCUAGUGUUGCUGCCCAGUGCCCAGGUCAGAUUUGUUCCCUCAGGCUCAGGGGGGCUGGUGGCAAAUCCAUGGUCUCUGCUCCUUGGAAAUGUCUUGGAAUAUCAUUUUCCUGCUUUGGCUGCUGCUGCUUUAGAAAUAACUUCCCCUAAAUCCAAAUCAAUGGGGCUGGAACCCAGAAUGGCUUGGGUUGGAGGGCCUCAGAUCCCAUUCCGUUCCAGGGGCAGGAAUGCUCCAGCCCCAGUGUCCAGCCUGGCCUUGGGCACUGCCAGGGAUCCAGGGGCAGCCACAGCUGCUCUGGCAAUUCCAGCCCAGCCAGCAAUUCCCAGUUCCCAGUCUCCCAUCCAUCCCUGCCCUCUGGCAGUGGGAGCCAUUCCCUGGCUCCUGUCCCUCCAUGCCUUGUCCCCAGUCCCUCUGCAGCUCUCCUGGAGCCCCUCCAGGCCCUGCCAGGGGCUCUGAGCUCUCCCUGGAGCCUUCUCCUCUCCAGUGAACAUUCCCAGCUCUCCCAGCCUUUCUUCACAGCAGAGUUUAUAUUUUCUGUUCUCUUUAAAGGAAAAAUUAUUCAGAAAGAGAAGUAAAAAAAACCCCAACAACUGUGAAAGGCUUUAAAAGUCCUAUUUCUCUUUUCCUCCCUCGAAAAUGAAGUUUUUAUUACUUUUUCUGGUCAGGCCUAAGGCAGGAUUUGCUAUUUGAAAAACAAACUGCCAGCAGCCUCCAGCAAAGACAAGCUGCAGCCUCUGCUUUCUUCCCUCUGCCUGUGAUUUCCUUGCCUUUGUAAAUAUUUCUUCCAAGCGAGAAAUCCAGCAGGAUUUAUUUGAUCAACCACACAUUUCUGCACAAUCCAUUGGGGAACGUCAGGUAGGAUUUGUAACCAGAUCCAGAUGGAAGCGGGGCUCAGGGAGGAGUGAGGUUGCAGGGGUUUAUCCCAUCUAACCUUGGGAUGUUCCUUCUUAAAUCCUGAAGGCAGUGAAGCUCCUGAACUUUGGGAAUUUAUAGGACAUUUCCUGUUUUCAAGAGGCAGCUCUGUGCCUUUCCCAAAAGGAAGGAAGUGAGGUUUGUCUCCGGAGUCCAUGGAAAUGUUCUCCAGGUCCCAGUGCUGAGGAGCAGAGCCAGGAAAAUCUCUUGGAGAGCAUCAAGUGCCAGCCAGGAUUCGCUGGAGGAUGCAGGGAGGAGGUGGGGAAAGGAUGGGAUUUUAAAUGUGGGUUCUUAAAUCCAUCCCUGAACACAAAGGAGGAGCAGGGAGGGAUUUUGAGGUGUCCCAUGCCGGAUCAGCAGUAGGACUGAUGAUCCCUGUAAAUCCAGCUCAGGUAAUUCCAUGAUUCCAUGAUUCAGUGGAGAGUCAGUUUAUGCCCCCGCAAAAAAAAGAGCUUUUCCUUCUGUUCUUUGCAAAUCCCUAAGGAUCCCUGCUCAGAACAGCAGGUUCCAUGAAAAGCCAGUGAAGUGGUGGCAGCUGCAGGCACAAUCCUGCCAGGAAUGCCGGUGAUCCCGGUUCCAUGUGGGACUGAUGCUCCUCCGGACUCACUUCCACCCUCUCUUCUUCAUUUCCCAGCUUUAUCCAUCCCCAUGGGGCUGGAGAGGGAGCUGGAGGGAGCUCCCCUCUCCUCCUGCCGCCCUGGCCAAAAUAUAUUUUCCUUAGUGCAUGGAUCCGACUUUGGAACAUGGAUCUGGGUGCAGGAGCAGCUCUGGACCAAAAGGAAAAGGCACAGCCCACUCCCCAAAAGUCUGAGAAAUGUUUGGAAAUUAGCUAAAAAGGAGCAAAUAUAAACUACAGGUGAACUUCUGCCUUUUAUCCUCCUUUCCCUAACUCCUAGGAGCCCAUGGAGGGCUAAAGGGAUCCAAACCAGUAGGCACUCAGGGUUGGAAGUGUGGAUGGUUCCAGACAUUUGGAAUUCAUGGUUUGCUAAUCCCAGGAUGGAUCAGGCUGGAAGGGACCACAGAGGGUCACUGGUGCCAGUCCCUGCCCAGGGCACAGGAUUGUGUCCAUGUGGCUCUGGAAUGUCCCAGGGAGGAGACUCCAGCCCCUCUCUGGGCUCUGCUCAGGGCUGGCACUGCCCAGGGCAGGAGUUCUGCCACCUGGAAUUCCUGGGAUCAGCCCCUGCUCAUUUCUCUUGUCCCACUUCUGGGCACCACCAAGAAGAUCCUGGUCCAGUUCAUGGCAAUUUCUUUCCCAUUUGGGAAAAAAAAAAAAAAGUCCCAAAUUCUGCACUGAAGCAGACCUGGAUCAACAGUCAUGUCCAGCUGUUUAAAACCAGAAUUAAACCUUCCUUCCAAAAGGAAGGUUCUAUGUAAACUCUCCUCUUUUAAAUACCUCCAGACUCUUUGGGAAACAAACCCAGGAACUUUUGAGCAGCAGGAAUGUGCAGUGUGGGCUCUAAAUCACCCAGAUUGCUGCAGGUUUGCACGUCUGCUCGGCAGCCCAGCUCUGCUCCCUCUCCAAAAUGUGCCAAUUGCUGCUCCUGCAGCAGCUGAGCCAGCACAAUCCUGGCUCCUCUGCUGCCCUUCUUUCUGCUCCAGCUGCUCCCGAGGCUUCGUUUCUUUCAUCACUUCCUCCAUUAAGGAUUUUGCCCCAAAUAUUGAGGCUCCCCAUCCCCCUGGCCAUGGAAUCUCAAAGAUUUCCCCUCAUGGGGCAUUAGGGUGGAUCUGCUUCAGCCUGGGAGAGCUCAGAGCCCAAAGGGGCUCCAGGAGAGCUGGAGAGGGACUGGGGACAAGGCAUGGAGGGACAGGACACAGGGAAUGGCUUUAGGCUGGAAAAGAGGAGAUUUAGAUGGGAUAUUGGGAAGGAAUUGCUGGCUGGAGGGUGGGGAGGGGCUGGGCUGGAAUUGCCAGAGCAGCUGGGGCUGCCCCUGGAUCCCUGGCAGUGCCUGAGACCAGGUUGGACACUGGGGCUGGAGCAGCCUGGGACAGUGGGAGGUGUCCCUGCCAUGGCAGGGUGGCACUGGGUGGGAUUUGAGGUCCCUUCCAACCCAAACCUUCACAGAAUUCCAAGAUUCUCCAAAACCUGGUGUCUGUGACCCUGUACAGCAAAGGGAGAGCAGGGAACUGCAGAGUUCAUUUCACUCCCUCAAUCAAAACCUAGUCAGAACCUAAUAAAAAUGGACAAAUCUCUAAUUGCCUUUCACACCAGUUUUAUUUCACGGCCUAAGUCAAUAUUCCAACAAUAAAGCUGAUCCCAGAAUAAACCUGGAUUAUCAAAUCCGUUUGGUUUGUUGGAUAAAUGAAUCAUCAAGCCCUUAAUAAUCCCAGCAGCUCACGCAGAUUUGUGCAGCACUGCAAACAAAAGGGGAAAUCCCAUCUUUAUUUGCCUAAUGCUCAUUAAUUUUUCCUUCCUUUCCUCCUCCUUUCAAGACUUCUCCAAUCCCUCACGGAAAAUCAAAGCAUAUCCUUGAAACUAAAUCCUUCUCCUCUUCUGAGCCAAACAUUUCCCCACUCAGAAGAGCCCAGGACCUGAUGCAAUGCCAUGUUUGGCUUUGGAAAACUCAGGGAACGUCACUAUUUAGGGAGAGAUGAGGGAUCCCAUCAGGCAGAGCUGAAACAGGGGGUGCAAUAAUGGAUAAAGCACAGCAAGGAGAGCUCCUGGUGGUCCUCACAAACUUCCCAAAAGUUUGGGCGCAAAAAAAAAAAUCUCACAACAUCUGAACAUUUAUAAAAAUCUGGAGGAAAAAAAACGAAAAA
Molecule: long non-coding RNA, 8467 nt
Organism: Passer domesticus (house sparrow)
Lineage: Eukaryota; Metazoa; Chordata; Aves; Passeriformes; Passeridae
Exons: 3
Source: RefSeq, a predicted model, not a curated record